AGAUAUAGAUAUACCUAGAUAACGCGAAUGCACCUACUUCGCGUGUCCCGGUCCCGAUAAAUCAUCGGAAGGAGCUGCCGCUGCUUACAGUCCACGCGCGUCUGUUGUUGCAUGCGGACCGGCCGCGAAAACUAGAAAAAUGCCUCAAUGUGUGAUAAUAAAUUGCAAUAAGCCAAAAACUUCGAGCUCCCAAAGGCAAGGACAUAUUUCCUAUCACGGGAGGUAAACGAGCAGACGGAUCACCUGAUGGUAAGUGAUUACCGUCGCCCAUAGACACCCGCAAACCCAGGGGCGUUACAGUUUCCCACAAGAUGCAAUAUUAAAAGAAAAAUGGAUCGCGGCUACGGGACGGAAAGACUGGUUUCCGACAAAACAUAGUACCAUUUGUUCAAUUCAUUUUGAAAGUACCUGUUUUGAACCUUCAAAAAAGAAGAGAUUGUUAAAAAAAACGGCAUGCCCCACUAUACAUAUUAUGUAUGUAUUUUCAUGUAAAAGUACUAAUAAAGUAAAGUACAUAAUAAUGUGUGUACAAACUUAUAAGAAAUAAUGAUCUGCUGAUGAUGUUGUAGAUUGUAGAGAAAUGAAUACAAGUAGUGUACGUGAUUUUGAUGAUUUUUAUAAAACAUUGCCACAAAUCAGAAUUUUGUGACCAAAUAAUCACAAUAUAUAUUGCUGGAUAUGUUAUAAGAGCAAUACAAAAUAUCUACGAGGCACCGUUGUCGAGAUAUUGAUAUUUUAUAAAAACUUAAAAUGUAUGUUAUUCACUAUUUAAAGUAAAUAUAACAUAUUAUUUUAAGUUUUUAUUAAUACGGGAUCGUGUCUAAAAUUAGCCUUUUGUAGUUAUUUAAUUGUGUUUUUUAAAAGAAAACUACAUGUGACUUUGUCUCAAAAUAAACUUAAACAGGAUGAAAUUAAUGAAUCAAAAAAAUUAAUUAUGUGUGACAACACUGGCGGCUCGAAAAAUGCCCGCGCAGCAACGAUGUAUUAUAAUAAGCAAUCUGUUUUAGAAUUAUACAUUUUUAUUUAAAAUUCAAUGAAAAUAUUAUCUAUUUAAACAUUUCGUUUAAUAUCAUUCGUCUGUAUAUCUCAUUCGUCUGUGUAUCUCAUUCGUCUGUGUAUCUCAUUCGUCUGUCAGAUAAUCGAUGCCAUUUCUGUGAUCGUAGCGGUGCGUUGGGGCAACGGCGGCAUCGGCAUCUUUGAAUCGAUUACGAUUUCCCGUCACUAAAUGUUGGCUGUGACGUCACAGUAGGUAUUAAAAAGUCGGCACGCUUGGUUUUAAUACAGAUCGUGUUACUUGCGUUAUCUAUGUAUAUCUAUAUCU
Ostrinia nubilalis (European corn borer) is the source of this 1321-nucleotide long non-coding RNA. RefSeq lists it as uncharacterized. Lineage: Eukaryota; Metazoa; Arthropoda; Insecta; Lepidoptera; Crambidae. The transcript has 3 exons. The record is from RefSeq and is a predicted model, not a curated record.